This 236-nucleotide long non-coding RNA is filed under the name Mytilus galloprovincialis (Mediterranean mussel). Lineage: Eukaryota; Metazoa; Mollusca; Bivalvia; Mytilida; Mytilidae. The record is from RNAcentral.
AAGAAACUGUUUAAAGAAGAAAAAAAAAGAUGAAGAAAUAGACUUUAACUUGUGUUACAUUUUAUUAUACUAUUAACAAAUUUUAAAAAUAUAUUCUUUUACCAAAGAUGCGAAUUUAUUAUCAAUCAUGCCAUUUGAAGGAAACGUGCAUGUAUAGAAAUUGGUUUAAUCUUAAGCUGAUGGGAUGGUUAAGGGGUUCUCAUCUUAAUGAUACAAUUUGUAAGCGCUCUUGAAAA